Molecule: long non-coding RNA, 364 nt
Organism: Echinops telfairi (small Madagascar hedgehog)
Lineage: Eukaryota; Metazoa; Chordata; Mammalia; Afrosoricida; Tenrecidae
Exons: 3
Source: RefSeq, a predicted model, not a curated record
GGAAACACGCAUCCCUCCAGCAAGGAGAACAACAACAACACAAACAAACGGAGUCACAGCGCAGAGUCUGCUGUGGGCGUGGCUGCGUAGGGAACGUGUGCUGAGAAUCUACGCAGGUGCUUUGUAUCAGUGAGGAAGAAGAACAGCUGUGCACUAUCUUCCUGACAUCAGAACUGAGCACAUCGGAACGGAAAUAUCAGCUCAGCCUCAGACGUCCUUACAGCCUUCAGACAGAAGAGGAGUCAGUGGUUCUCCAAAAAAAGCAGAUAAGCACCGUGACUUUUAGAUUCGCCAACACCAGCACUGAAGUUGGAAGCUGCCUAAGUAUGCGCCAAGAAAAAUCUACGAAUAUGAUUUUCUACUA